RNAcentral lists this ribosomal RNA (1361 nucleotides) under uncultured bacterium. Its description in RNAcentral is "bacterial SSU rRNA". It matches the Rfam family "Bacterial small subunit ribosomal RNA", at positions 25 to 1372 of the family's 1533-position model. The record is from RNAcentral.
CAGGAUGAACGCUAGCGGCAGGCUUAACACAUGCAAGUCGAGGGGCAUCGGGAGGGAAGCUUGCUUUCCUUGCCGGCGACCGGCGCACGGGUGAGUAACACGUAUGCAACCUGCCCUCUUCAGGGGGACAACCUUCCGAAAGGGAGGCUAAUCCCGCGUAUAUCGGUUUCGGGCAUCCGAGAUCGAGGAAAGAUUCAUCGGAAGAGGAUGGGCAUGCGGCGCAUUAGCUAGACGGCGGGGUAACGGCCCACCGUGGCGACGAUGCGUAGGGGUUCUGAGAGGAAGGUCCCCCACACUGGUACUGAGACACGGACCAGACUCCUACGGGAGGCAGCAGUGAGGAAUAUUGGUCAAUGGGAGAGAUCCUGAACCAGCCAAGCCGCGUGAGGGAAGACGGCCCUAUGGGUUGCAAACCUCUUUUGUCGGAGAACAAAACCCGGGACGAGUCCCGGACUGCGUGUAUCCGAAGAAAAAGCAUCGGCUAACUCCGUGCCAGCAGCCGCGGUAAUACCGGAGGAUGCGAGCGUUAUCCGGAUUUAUUUGGGUUUAAAGGGUGCGUAGGCCGGUCCGUUAAGUCAGGCGGUAAAAUUGCGGGGCUCAACCCCCGUUGAGCCGUUGAAACUGGCAGACUUGAGUUUGGCGAGAAGUACGCGGAAUGCGCGGGUGUAGCGGUGAAAUGCAUAGAUAUCGCGCAGAACUCCGAUUGCGAAGGCAGCGUACCGGCGCCAGACUGACGCUGAGGCACGAAAGCGUGGGGAUCGAACAGGAUUAGAUACCCUGGUAGUCCACGCAGUAAACGAUGAAUGCUGGUUGUCCGGGUCGAAUGAGACCUGGGCGGCGAAGCGAAAGCGAUAAGCAUUCCACCUGGGGAGUACGCCGGCAACGGUGAAACUCAAAGGAAUUGACGGGGGCCCGCACAAGCGGAGGAACAUGUGGUUUAAUUCGAUGAUACGCGAAGAACCUUACCCGGGCUCAAACGGGAGUGGAAUGGACCAGAGACGGUUCAGCCUACGGGCCGCUUCCGAGGUGCUGCAUGGUUGUCGUCAGCUCGUGCCGUGAGGUGUCGGCUUAAGUGCCAUAACGAGCGCAACCCCCGCCGGCAGUUGCUAACGGGCAAUGCCGAGGACUCUGCCGGGACUGCCGCCGCAAGGCGUGAGGAAGGCGGGGAUGACGUCAAAUCAGCACGGCCCUUAUGUCCGGGGCGACACACGUGUUACAAUGGGCGGUACAGCGGGAAGCCAGGCGGCGACGCCGAGCGGAACCCGAAAGCCGUUCUCAGUUCGGAUCGGAGUCUGCAACCCGACUCCGUGAAGCUGGAUUCGCUAGUAAUCGCGCAUCAGCCAUGGCGCGGUGAAUACGUU